GAGUUUGAUCCUGGCUCAGGAUGAACGCUGGCGGCGUGCCUAACACAUGCAAGUCGAACGAAGCACCUUUUGAGAUUCUUCGGAUGAUCGAUCGGUGACUGAGCGGCGGACGGGUGAGUAACGCGUGGGCAACCUGCCUCAUACAGGGGGAUAACAGUUAGAAAUGACUGCUAAUACCGCAUAAGACCACGGUACCGCAUGGUACAGUGGUAAAAACUCCGGUGGUAUGGGAUGGACCCGCGUCUGAUUAGGUAGUUGGUGGGGUAACGGCCUACCAAGCCGACGAUCAGUAGCCGACCUGAGAGGGUGAACGGCCACAUUGGGACUGAGACACGGCCCAGACUCCUACGGGAGGCAGCAGUGGGGAAUAUUGCACAAUGGGGGAAACCCUGAUGCAGCGACGCCGCGUGAGCGAUGAAGUAUUUCGGUAUGUAAAGCUCUAUCAGCAGGGAAGAAAAUGACGGUACCUGACUAAGAAGCCCCGGCUAACUACGUGCCAGCCGCCGCGGUAAUUC
Molecule: ribosomal RNA, 515 nt
Filed under: uncultured bacterium
Lineage: Bacteria
Description: bacterial SSU rRNA
Rfam family: Bacterial small subunit ribosomal RNA
Source: RNAcentral